This 1743-nucleotide long non-coding RNA is filed under the name Marmota monax (woodchuck). The record is from RNAcentral. Lineage: Eukaryota; Metazoa; Chordata; Mammalia; Rodentia; Sciuridae.
GGCUGUCCUGUCUCUUUAGUCUCAUCUGCUAGAACAGUUUCUCAGUCUUCUCUUGACUUUUGUGACCUUGACACUUUUAAAGAUCAGAGUCCAAUUAUUUGACAGAGGUCCCUCAAUGUGGGUUGGUCUGUUUCCCCCUGGUUAGAUUCAGUUUAUGUCUCUUGGGCAGGAAGGUCACAGGAGUGUUCUGUGUUCUUCUCACUGCAGCCUGUCAGGAGGCGCUCCGUCACAGUUUGUCCCAUUACUGAAGAUAUUUGCUUUGAUCACUUCGGUUACUGUCUUCUAGGUUUUUCCACUGUGAUGUUUUCCUUUUCCCCUUGUAACUUAAAGGUAUUUUGCAGGACAAAUAGUUCAAAACUAUUAAAAUAUCCCACUCUUCAAUAGACACAAAAAUUUCCCAUUUAUUUAUACAUUUAUGUUAGUUGAGACUCAGGGAUCAGCAAUCAGAUUGUAAGCAUUUUAGGUUUUGAGGUCUAAGGGUCAAAAUCUAGGCUACCUAUGUACUUUUAUAACAAGAGAGAGGGGGAAAAAAAGUCCACCAAAUUUUCAUUGGGGAAAUUAAAAAUAUAGUAAUUUAUUGAGGACAACAUAUUUUGUAAUUCAGGUCUACAGAUGAGAACAAAAUUCUUUGGAGGAGGGAGAAUACAUGACUUGAAUUUUUUGUGUUCCCUGUUUUCAAAUUGAUUGCAAAUAUUCCUUAUCCCCAACACUGGAAAAAAACACAAAAAACAAAAAACCAAAACCCAAAUCAAAACAAACCCCAAAUCCCCCUAUUCUUAGCUGUGCUCAUUGAAAUCAGGGAACAGGCUGUUUUGCUGACCCUUGGUUCAGACUCAUUGAUUCCCCUUUGACUCAGGAAGUUAAAAUCUGUUACUAACAUUAUGUAUUUUGAAUGUGGCUUGUCCCCUAAAUGUUCUCCAAUUUGAAUACAAAUUGCCCUCUCUGUCCUUGUGGCACCUUCCUAUCUCUCUUUGAGCAUUUCCUUGCCUGUGGCAGGAGACGUUCUAGGCUCAUUCUGCAGGUCUCUGCUCCAUCCCUGAAAGCAGUCAUAUUUUCAGAGAGCCCUGGUGUCUACUAGUGGCAAAUGGUAUUUAGAAACUUCAAUCUGGCUGCCAAGUGUGCUCAUUGCUACAGGGGUGUCCUUUUCCACGGACAGACCUAGGACCUAUGUGUGUGUUUGCCAGGACCUUCUGUUCUAACCCAAUACCACGGGGCUGUUUCCACUUUUCUCCUUUUCCAUUCUUGCACUCCCUGUCUCCAGCACAGAGAAACAUGGUUCCCAUUAUAAUCAAAAUACUUUCUUCUUGGAUCCAGUCCCCUAGCAAGUAACCACUUCUCAUUCCUCUUGCCAGCCUGACAGGAGUAAACAUCAAGGAUGAACAAACAACAUGAAUCAGCAAAAGGACUUGUUUUGGACUUGUUUUGGACUUUGUAGUGACUAAGUGACUUUUUAGUUGUAAACAUGUUUUGGUUAUAGGAUGACUAGAUAGUAUGCCCAUGUUAGAUAAGUUGAUGAUGUAACUAGGUAGUGUGCUUAUGUUAGAUAAGUUAGACAUAAACAAGUUUGUUGUAAACAUAUAGAGUAUAUAAGCGCGAGGGAAACUCCAUGUAUUUGCUCACAAUCAACUCUCAUCGCCUGAGAGUAAGAUCGUGCAGUGUGAGCCAGUCACCUCGUGUAUUGCUUUGUGUGGUGUGCGAAUAAACCAGCAUUUCAAAAGGCAAUCGAGUUCGUGCUUGGUGUUC